UUUCUAUGGUCUUAUAAACACAUAACUGA
This 29-nucleotide small RNA is filed under the name Bombyx mori (domestic silkworm). RNAcentral describes it as "ovarian small RNA-38348". The record is from RNAcentral. Lineage: Eukaryota; Metazoa; Arthropoda; Insecta; Lepidoptera; Bombycidae.